This 460-nucleotide ribosomal RNA is filed under the name uncultured bacterium. Its description in RNAcentral is "partial 16S ribosomal RNA". It matches the Rfam family "Bacterial small subunit ribosomal RNA", at positions 338 to 795 of the family's 1533-position model. The record is from RNAcentral.
CCUACGGGAGGCAGCAGUGAGGAAUAUUGGUCAAUGGGCGCAAGCCUGAACCAGCCAAGUCGCGUGAGGGAUGACGGCCCUACGGAUUGUAAACCUCUUUUAUCAGGGAAUAAAGUGCGGCACGUGUGCCGUUUUGUAUGUACCUUAUGAAUAAGGAUCGGCUAACGCCGUGCCCGCAGCCGCGGUAAUACGGAGGAUCCGAGCGUUAUCCGGAUUUAUUGGGUUUAAAGGGUGCGUAGGGGGGCUUUUAAGGUAAGUGUGAAAGUUUGUGGCUCAACCAUAGAAUUGCCAUUGAAACUGGGAGCCUUGAGUAGAAUUGAGGUAGGCGGAAUGCGUGGUGUAGCGGUGAAAUGCUUAGAUAUCACGCAGAACCCCGAUUGCGAAGGCAGCCUGCCAAGCCACGACUGACGCUGAUGCACGAAAGCGUGGGGAUCAAACAGGAUUAGAUACCCUAGUAGUC